UACGGAGGGUGCGAGCGUUGUCCGGAAUCACUGGGCGUAAAGGGCGCGUAGGUGGCCUGCUAAGCGUGCGGUGAAAGUCGGGGGCUCAACCCCCGAUCGGCCGUGCGAACUGGGAGGCUUGAGCACUGUAGAGGCAGGCGGAAUUCCGGGUGUAGCGGUGGAAUGCGUAGAGAUCCGGAAGAACACCGGUGGCGAAGGCGGCCUGCUGGGCAGUUUUGCUGACACUGAGGCGCGACAGCGUGGGGAGCAAACAGG
This 255-nucleotide ribosomal RNA is filed under the name uncultured bacterium. RNAcentral describes it as "partial 16S ribosomal RNA". It matches the Rfam family "Bacterial small subunit ribosomal RNA", at positions 524 to 776 of the family's 1533-position model. The record is from RNAcentral.